This 1209-nucleotide ribosomal RNA is filed under the name metagenome. RNAcentral describes it as "bacterial SSU rRNA". It matches the Rfam family "Bacterial small subunit ribosomal RNA", at positions 298 to 1498 of the family's 1533-position model. The record is from RNAcentral.
GGGUGACUGGCCACAUUGGGACUGAGACACGGCCCAAACUCCUACGGGAGGCAGCAGCUAAGAAUCUUCCGCAAUGGGCGCAAGCCUGACGGAGCGACGCCGCGUGGACGAAGAAUGCCGAGAGGUUGUAAAGUCCUUUUAUAUGCGAAGAAUAAUAUCUGUAGGUAAUGACAGAUAGAUGACGUUAGCUUAUGAAUAAGCUCCGGCCAAUUACGUGCCAGCAGCCGCGGUAACGCGUAAGGAGCGAGCGUUGUUCGGAAUUAUUGGGCGUAAAGGGCAUGUAGGCGGUUAUGUAAGUCCGAUGUGAAAUACCACAGCUUAACUGUGGAAACGCAUUGGAAACUGUGUGACUUGAAUCAGUGAGGGGUAACCGGAAUUUCUAGUGUAGGGGUGAAAUCUGUUGAUAUUAGAAAGAACACCGAUGGCGAAGGCAGGUUACUGGCACAUGAUUGACGCUGAGAUGCGAAAGCGUAGGGAGCGAACAGGAUUAGAUACCCUGGUAGUCUACGCUGUAAACGAUGUACACUUGGUGUCGGGGUUUCUAAGCCUCGGUGCCGCAGCUAACGCGUUAAGUGUACCGCCUGGGGAGUAUGCCGGCAACGGUGAAACUCAAAGGAAUUGACGGGGGCCCGCACAAGCGGUGGAGCAUGUGGUUUAAUUCGAUGAUACGCGAGAAACCUUACCAGGGUUUGACAUAUUUAUGGUCGUCUUAGAGAUAAGAUUUUCCCUUCGGGGACAUUUAUACAGGUGCUGCAUGGUUGUCGUCAGCUCGUGCCGUGAGGUGUUGGGUUAAGUCCCGCAACGAGCGCAACCCCUAUUGUCUGUUACCAUCAUUAAGUUGGGGACUCAGGCAAGACUGCCGGUGACAAACCGGAGGAAGGUGGGGACGACGUUAAAUCAUCAUGGCCCUUAUAUCCUGGGCUACACACGUGCUACAAUGGCCGGUACAAAGUGAAGCGAAGCCGCGAGGUGAAGCAAAACGCAUAAAGCCGGUCUCAGUUCGGAUUGGAGUCUGAAACUCGACUCCAUGAAGGUGGAAUCGCUAGUAAUCGCGCAUCAGCAUGGCGCGGUGAAUACGUUCCCGGGCCUUGUACACACCGCCCGUCACACCACCCGAGUUGGGGGUACCCGAAGUCGCUAGUCUAACCUGAUUCAGGAGGACGGCGCCGAAGGUAUGCCUGGUAAGGGGGGUGAAGUCGAAACAAGGUA